Molecule: ribosomal RNA, 506 nt
Filed under: uncultured bacterium
Lineage: Bacteria
Description: partial 16S ribosomal RNA
Rfam family: Bacterial small subunit ribosomal RNA
Source: RNAcentral
AUUGAACGCUGGCGGCAGGCCUAACACAUGCAAGUCGAACGGUAACAGGAAACAGCUUGCUGUUUCGCUGACGAGUGGCGGACGGGUGAGUAAUGUCUGGGAAACUGCCUGAUGGAGGGGGAUAACUACUGGAAACGGUAGCUAACACCGCAUAACGUCGCAAGACCAAAGAGGGGGACCUUCGGGCCUCUUGCCAUCGGAUGUGCCCAGAUGGGAUUAGCUGGUAGGUGGGGUAACGGCUCACCUAGGCGACGAUCCCUAGCUGGUCUGAGAGGAUGACCAGCCACACUGGAACUGAGACGCGGUCCAGACUCCUACGGGAGGCAGCAGUGGGGAAUAUUGCACAAUGGGCGCAAGCCUGAUGCAGCCAUGUCGCGUGUAUGAAGAAGGCCUUCGGGUUGUAAAGUACUUUCAGCGGGGAGGAAGGGAGUAAAGUUAAUACCUUUGCUCAUUGACGUUACCCGCAGAAGAAGCACCGGCUAACUCCGUGCCAGCCGCCGCCGUAA